This 389-nucleotide ribosomal RNA is filed under the name uncultured bacterium. RNAcentral's name for it is "bacterial SSU rRNA". It matches the Rfam family "Bacterial small subunit ribosomal RNA", at positions 29 to 418 of the family's 1533-position model. The record is from RNAcentral.
AUUGAACGCUGGCGGCGUGCUUAACACAUGCAAGUCGAUCGGUAACAGGUGUAGCAAUACAUGCUGACGAGAGGCGGACGGGUGAGUAAUGCUUGGGAAUCUGCCUAUUAGUGGGGGACAACCCGGGGAAACUCGGGCUAAUACCGCAUACGCUCUACGGAGGAAAGCCGGGGACCGCAAGGCCUGGCGCUCAUAGAUGAGCCCAAGUCGGAUUAGCUAGNGGUAGGGUAACGGCCUACCAAGGCGACAAUCCGUAGCUGGUCUGAGAGGACGACCAGCCACACCGGAACUGAGACACGGUCCGGACUCCUACGGGAGGCAGCAGUGGGGAAUAUUGGACAAUGGGGGCAACCCUGAUCCAGCGACGCCGCGUGGGUGAAGAAGGCCUG